This 665-nucleotide long non-coding RNA is filed under the name Heterocephalus glaber (naked mole-rat). RNAcentral describes it as "lncRNA (ENSHGLG00100046284.1)". The record is from RNAcentral. Lineage: Eukaryota; Metazoa; Chordata; Mammalia; Rodentia; Bathyergidae.
GUCUGCUCUCGAGCUGCGGCAGCUGCCACCCCUAACAGCACGAUCUGUUUCUCACUUACCCUCCGCGAUCACUGAGGGCUGGCUGGGGCACUGUCCGUCCUGUCCCCCUCGCUCCAGGACCCACACUGGCGAGGCAGCUCAGGGGACAGCAGAAAGAGACAGUGUGGCACAUUGUGUCCAGGUUCCUAAGGCUUGCACACUCGUCACUUCCACUCAAGCCUCUUUGGCCAGAGCAGUGACUUCGCUCAAGUUACCAAGGAAGAGUCACCCUCCGGUGUGCCCGGAAGAGGACAGAGCUGGAAAUCCUGGCUGCCCAGCAAAACUACAGUGGUCGGUGAGCAACGCGGACCAGGACAUGCACGCACAAGUCAGGAAGUUCUCUUCCUCUCUUCUCUGCUGACAACUGGUGUGCAGGAUGGCGAGCCCUGCCCAAGCACUCAGAAUUACACCUGAAGUCGGAAUGAAACUCGACUCUCACAUCCUCCCUCCACAGGAAGAAGUGAGCGGGGACCAGCAGGAACCAAGAUAAAUUUUUCCUUGCUUCUGGCCCACCAACUCGUCAGCUGUCUUGAGCUGAGGCAGCGCUGCCAGACUGAAUAACUGGAGAAUGUACUCGACUCUAUUUAUUUUAGAGUAUGAUAAUUUGAGGGAAAAUUAAAAUUGUC